This 254-nucleotide ribosomal RNA is filed under the name uncultured bacterium. RNAcentral's name for it is "partial 16S ribosomal RNA". It matches the Rfam family "Bacterial small subunit ribosomal RNA", at positions 524 to 776 of the family's 1533-position model. The record is from RNAcentral.
GACGGAGGAUGCAAGUGUUAUCCGGAAUCACUGGGCGUAAAGCGUCUGUAGGUGGUUUAAUAAGUCAACUGUUAAAUCUUGAGGCUCAACCUCAAAAUCGCAGUCGAAACUAUUAGGCUAGAGUAUAGUAGGGGUAAAGGGAAUUUCCAGUGGAGCGGUGGAAAUGCGUAGUGAUUGGAAAGAACACCGAUGGCGAAGGCACUUUACUGGGCUAUUACUAACACUCAGAGACGAAAGCUAGGGUAGCAAAUGGG